UACGUAGGGGGCGAGCGUUGUCCGGAAUUAUUGGGCGUAAAGAGCGUGUAGGCGGUUCGGUAAGUCUGCCGUGAAAACCUGGGGCUCAACCCUGGCGUGCGGUGGAUACUGCCGGGCUAGAGGGUGGUAGAGGCGAGUGGAAUUCCUGGUGUAGCGGUGAAAUGCGCAGAUAUCAGGAGGAACACCGGUGGCGAAGGCGGGUCUCUGGGCCGAUACUGACGCUGAGGAGCGAAAGCGUGGGGAGCGAACAGG
Molecule: ribosomal RNA, 252 nt
Filed under: uncultured bacterium
Lineage: Bacteria
Description: partial 16S ribosomal RNA
Rfam family: Bacterial small subunit ribosomal RNA
Source: RNAcentral